CCAGCCUCCGCGCGGGCCACGCCCCCUCCGACGUCUCGGGCGGAGGAACGGGAGGUGGGGGCAGGACACAAAGCGCGAGAGCCGCUGUGGCCGCCGCCCCGCCCACCUCAGGGUCCCCCGCGGCGGGGGCUCACGUUCGGGAAGUCGGAGAGGAGCCCCGAGACCCUCAGCGGUCUCCUCUGCAAGGGCCCGCCCCCUCGCCCGGGGCCAGCCGAGUCCGCGCAAGGCCUCUUGGGAGUUGUAGUUUGUCCUCUGGAACGCUCCUUUUCCUUUAUCCCUCCCGGAAUCACAGUUUUGAUGGAGAGGUGUAGAGUUCCGCGUCUCCUCGCCAGAAUGAACAGCUUUGGAAUUGUUUUACUCAGCUUUCCUCUUUUGAGCACAGUUCGUGGGAUGGAAGGCCUAGAAUGACGGUGGGGGAAAAAAGCUAUGACUAAAAAAAUUUAAAAGGUGUUUUUCCGGUGCCGAUGGGCCCGGCCCGUGGAGGCAGAAGAUUGGAAGAGUCUUCUUUGGAGAAUGUGAUUAUCCUAUAAGGGAAGACCUAAAAGAUACUGAGACAUGAGUGUUCUCAACCAAUUCACCCCAUGGAAAGGUCAUAGUCAAGCCCAGCUUGUGCUCAGAAUAUCAAAUAAACUUUUAAUGCUCCACUAUUAAAAGGAAUAGACAACUAAUUACCAGCCAAAAAGAAAAUGCUCUGACACCUAAAACAAACAAAACAUCAGAGUAGAAGAAAAAGACUAUGCAGAGAAGAAAACUUAAAAAAAGAAAUUAUAACAUUGCCAGACAUUGCCACCAUAAAACAGUAACCAGAUACUAUACAAAAGGAACCUGUCAAAAACAACAACAAAAAAGAUCUUUUAUAAAGUAAAGAUGUGAAAACAGAAAUAAAAAAAACUCAAGAGGAAAACUGGAAGAUAAAAUUGAAGAAAUUGUCUGGAAAGUAGGCAAAAAGACAAAGGACUAAUGAAGAAGAUCCAGAAUAGCUAUAAUAGAAGAAGAGCAAAGACACAAACAACUUUAAGACAUUUUUCUAGGGUUAAGUUUUCGAAUUCAAAGUGCCCUAGUCUAAGUGCCCAGCACACUGGAUAAAAAUGAUAGUGCUGAGUUGCCUAGGUGGCUCAGUCAGUUAAGCAUAUGACUUCGGCUCAGGUGGUGACUCUCAGAGUCCUGGGAUCAAGCCCCAGUUCCAGCUCCAUGCUCAGCGGGGAGCCUGCUUCUCCUUUACCCCCUGACUCUACCCCUUGCUCAUGCUCUUGCUCCUUCUUUCUCAAAUAAAUAAAAUCUUUAAAAAAAUGAUCGCUCAACACUGAGGCACAUCAUUGUGAAGUUUGAGACUAUUGGAUGCAAAGAGAAGAUCAUAGACCUUUUAAAGAUAGGUGAGAAAAACAGAUCCAUGCCCAAAGAUUCAAGAAUCAAUAGUUUAGGACUUCUCUACCUUUACACAGAAAGUUGAAAGGCAGUGGGAGCAUUGUCUUCAAAAUACUAAGAUUGGAAGGUCAUUUCCAUCCAAGAAUUCUAUGCUCAACUAAGCCAUCAACUUCAGGGGAAUAAAGCCAUUUCGAGACAGGAAACAUCUCAAGAAGUUUACCUACUGUGCAUCAUUUCUCAUGACAGGAGAUUUUACUCUGCUAAACAAGAUAGGAAACCAAAAAAGAAGACACUUGAUAUAGGAAACAUGAAAUCCAAUCCAGAGGAAAAAGCAAGGAGGAUUCCCCAGGGUAAUAGUGAAGGAAGAACCCAGCACGGCUGCAGAGUAUCCUGAGUAAGAGGCAGCCACUGAGGAUUCAAGAUCAGAAGGCACUUGGACAGACCUCUGCAGGAAGAUGGCAUUGAUAGAACAUCUACUGCAUCUGAGAGACUUGUGGGGAAAUUUAGGCAAUUGUGAAAAGAUAGCUGAUUAGCGAAAAUUAUUUAGAAAACUAAAACAAGGAGUGCCUGUGUGGCUCAGUUGAAUAAGUGUCUGCCUUCGUCUCAGUCAUGAUCCCAGGCUCCUGGGAUCGAGACCCACAUGGGGCUCCCUGCUCGGGAGGAAGCCAGCUUCUCCCUCUCCAUCUGCCUACUGCUCCACCUGCUUGUGCACUCUCUCCUCUCUCUCUCAAAUAAGUAAAUGCAAUCUUUAAAAAAAUAAAACAAAACCAAUUUAGAAAACAGAGUUACGCAAGACAAAUUCAUCUGUGAAUAGUGUUUACAUGAUCUCAGUUACGAUAAAAAUUAAUGUAAUCAAAAUUAUGACAUAACGACAUCAGAAGGCUGGAACAAUUAGAAGGUGUUAUAGGUCAGGGAACAGGAAAAAGAGCAAAAUCCUCAGCUUCUAUGGCAGAAAGCAAAUCAGUAUUGCCUAAAACUUGAAAAAGCCAAGACAAAGAAUAACGACACAUGCAAUUUAGGGCAUGGAGGAAAAUGGUAUAGCAAUUGACUGUAGGAGGGGAAAGCAGUGGGAGUUUGGGGAACAGGGAGAAAUUAGAGGAGGGCAGUGGGGAAUUGCUAUUUUUCCUAACUUUGGUGGAACUGUCCGAUUCUCCCGUGCAUAUGAACUUUGAGCCCUUAAAAAAAAAUCAGAUGUUUUAUGAUAAUGUUGGUGAUUUGUGGCAAAAUAAGUUAUUUUAAAUAUUUUAAUUUUUUUCCUUUCCAUUCUUCUAUCCUGAAUAUAUGGAACAAAGAAGACAGUCUGCUAUGAUGUGUCCAUUUUCCAAUUGUUCUAUUCAGUCACAAGACUUGAAAAUCCAAAGAGAAUGCGAGAAAAUAAUAAAAUGUAGAGGUGUGGGGCAAAUGGACACUUCGCUAGGGAUUACUUGUUUCCGAGGAUCUGAAAGUGUUUCUAGAACUCUCUUUGCUGCCCUGCCUUCACAACCACCUAGUGACUGCUUAUAAUUCAAUCUUUACCUUCCCUGACAUGUUCUUCCCUCUGUUAUUUGCAUCUAUUUUAGAACCAUCUUUCAAUGCUUCUAUAAAUUGAAGCAAUUCUGGAUAAUUGAAGAACACUUACUUUAUCUGUUAUUCAGUCAUUAUCCUGUUUGGAGGCCUGAAUUGUGAAAAUCAUUAUAUGGAUUAAUUUUCCCACUUCGUAUUGCACAGGGAGAUCAUGUAAUAUUAAAGUGUGUCAGUCUGGAA
Molecule: long non-coding RNA, 3108 nt
Organism: Canis lupus familiaris (dog)
Lineage: Eukaryota; Metazoa; Chordata; Mammalia; Carnivora; Canidae
Exons: 2
Source: RefSeq, a predicted model, not a curated record